RNAcentral lists this ribosomal RNA (248 nucleotides) under uncultured bacterium. Its description in RNAcentral is "partial 16S ribosomal RNA". It matches the Rfam family "Bacterial small subunit ribosomal RNA", at positions 14 to 252 of the family's 1533-position model. The record is from RNAcentral.
GUAUCCUGGCUCAGGAUGAACGCUAGCUACAGGCUUAACACAUGCAAGUCGAGGGGCAGCCUGAUUGAAGCUUGCUUCAAUUGAUGGCGACCGGCGCACGGGUGAGUAACACGUAUCCAACCUGCCGGAUAACUCGGGGAUAGCCUUUCGAAAGAAAGAUUAAUACCCGAUAGUAUAGUAUUUCCGCAUGGUUUACACUAUUAAAGAAUUUCGGUUAUCGAUGGGGAUGCGUUCCAUUAGAUAGUUGG